AGUGAACGCUGGCGGCGUGCCUAACACAUGCAAGUCGAGCGAAGUGGUAGCUGUAGCAAUACAGUGUACGCUUAGCGGCAGACGGGUGAGUAACACGUAGAGAACCUUCCUCUUUGAGGGGGAUAGCCCGCCGAAAGGCGGGGUAAUACCGCGUAAGAUUCAUUGAAGGCAUCUUCGAUGAAUGGAACAUCCGCAAGGAUGGCAAGGAGAGGGCUCUGCGGCCUAUCAGCUAGUUGGUGAGGUAACGGCUCACCAAGGCUACGACGGGUAACCGACCUGAAAGGGUGAACGGUCACACUGACACUGAGACACGGGUCAGACUCCUACGGGAGGCUG
This 336-nucleotide ribosomal RNA is filed under the name uncultured Elusimicrobia bacterium. RNAcentral describes it as "bacterial SSU rRNA". It matches the Rfam family "Bacterial small subunit ribosomal RNA", at positions 29 to 351 of the family's 1533-position model. The record is from RNAcentral. Lineage: Bacteria; Pseudomonadati; Elusimicrobiota; Elusimicrobia.